RNAcentral lists this small nucleolar RNA (120 nucleotides) under Amborella trichopoda. RNAcentral's name for it is "Small nucleolar RNA snoR74". It matches the Rfam family "Small nucleolar RNA snoR74". The record is from Rfam by way of RNAcentral. Lineage: Eukaryota; Viridiplantae; Streptophyta; Magnoliopsida; Amborellales; Amborellaceae.
AAAAAAGUAGAGGUCUGUACUUUUGUCCUCUGAGCUGGCUUCUCGUAAACUUCAAAGAAAUUUUUUGCAACCUUUGUAAACUAUACCUGUGAUAAAGGUUCAAUAAAUGUUGCGACAUUA